AUAAAGUCUCUUCACCAUUGUUUCAACAUGAAGGUUUGUAAUAAAAAUUUGUUUCUAUCAGCAUUGCUUUGCAUUGCUAUUGCAGGAGUUUUGGGUCAAGCUCCUAGUAAUCCUCCUACGUCUACGCCGGCGCCACCCACACCACCGGCUUCUACUCCUCCUCCGACGACUCAACCACCGCCUACACCAACCGCCACUCCGCCACCAGUUUCUACUCCUCUUCCCACUUCAUCACCGCCCCCAGUGACAGCUUCUCCACCCCCAGUUUCAACUCCUCCACCCAGUUCUCCUCCUCCCGCAACUCCACCACCUGCUUCUCCACCUCCUGCAACUCCACCUCCAGCUUCUCCACCUCCUGCAACUCCACCUCCAGCUUCUCCACCUCCCGCCACUCCUCCACCAGCAACCCCCCCACCUGCAACUCCUCCUGCUACCCCACCACCAGCUCCAUUGGCUUCUCCUCCAGCCACAGUCCCAGCUAUCUCUCCAGUACAAACACCAUUGACCUCGCCACCAGCUCCGCCGACCGAGGCCCCAGCACCUACCCUCGGGGCUGCUACGCCA
Molecule: long non-coding RNA, 564 nt
Filed under: Gossypium barbadense (sea-island cotton)
Lineage: Eukaryota; Viridiplantae; Streptophyta; Magnoliopsida; Malvales; Malvaceae
Description: long non-coding RNA (GBAR_LNC002751)
Source: RNAcentral